Small nuclear RNA from Trifolium pratense (red clover), 100 nucleotides. The record is from RefSeq and is a predicted model, not a curated record. Lineage: Eukaryota; Viridiplantae; Streptophyta; Magnoliopsida; Fabales; Fabaceae.
GAGAAGAACCCAUAAAUUAUAGUGGAAACGAUACAGAGAAGAUUAGCAUCACUCAUGCGCAAGGAUGACACACACAAAUCGAGAAAGAGAAGUAGUUACU